RNAcentral lists this ribosomal RNA (314 nucleotides) under uncultured bacterium. RNAcentral describes it as "bacterial SSU rRNA". It matches the Rfam family "Bacterial small subunit ribosomal RNA", at positions 28 to 334 of the family's 1533-position model. The record is from RNAcentral.
GAUGAACGCUGGCGGCGUGCAGUAACACAUUCAAGUCGAACGGAGUUACUGGAGAGCUUGCUCAAAGGUAACUUAGUGGCGGACGGGUGAGUAACGCGUGAGCAACCUGCCUUGGCAUGGGGGAUAACGUUUGGAAACGAACGCUAAUACCGCAUAUCGCAUAGACCUCGCAUGGGGAUUAUGCAAAAGAUUUAUUGUGCUAAGAUGGGCUCGCGUCCCAUUAGAUAGUUGGUGAGGUAACGGCCCACCAAGUCGACGAUGGGUAGCCGAACUGAGAGGUUGAACGGCCACAUUGGAACUGAGAUACGGUCCAG